RNAcentral lists this ribosomal RNA (497 nucleotides) under uncultured bacterium. RNAcentral describes it as "partial 16S ribosomal RNA". It matches the Rfam family "Bacterial small subunit ribosomal RNA", at positions 28 to 507 of the family's 1533-position model. The record is from RNAcentral.
GAUGAACGCUGGCGGCGUGCCUAAUACAUGCCAGUCGAGCGAACGGACGAGAAGCUUGCUUCUCUGAUGUUAGCGGCGGACGGGUGAGUAACACGUGGAUAACCUACCUAUAAGACUGGGAUAACUUCGGGAAACCGGAGCUAAUACCGGAUAAUAUUUUGAACCGCAUGGUUCAAAAGUGAAAGACGGUCUUGCUGUCACUUAUAGAUGGAUCCGCGCUGCAUUAGCUAGUUGGUAAGGUAACGGCUUACCAAGGCAACGAUGCAUAGCCGACCUGAGAGGGUGAUCGGCCACGCUGGAACUGAGACACGGUCCAGACUCCUACGGGAGGCAGCAGUAGGGAACCUUCCGCAAUGGGCGAAAGCCUGACGGAGCAACGCCGCGUGAGUGAUGAAGGUCUUCGGAUCGUAAAACUCUGUUAUUAGGGAAGAACAUAUGUGUAAGUAACUGUGCACAUCUUGACGGUACCUAAUCAGAAAGCCACGGCUAACUACGUG